GUGUUUACACUGUAAUCUUGGUUGAUGGGGGAGUUUGCUUUCAUGGAAGACUGGGAUCUGCGAGCUGUGGUGAGCGGAUCCACUACUGAAGCUUUUGCAAAUAUCGUGAACAACCCACCAUCUCUGUUCACUCCUCUGAAUCUUGAACGAGAUGAGCUUUUUAGUUUCCCUGAAAUCUUUGAAUCCACAACUGAUUUUUAUAGACAGGAAGAAAUUUACGACCCCUUGUACCCUGUGUUGCACCAGCAGUCACUUUCCACCCG
RNAcentral lists this unclassified non-coding RNA (263 nucleotides) under Hevea brasiliensis (rubber tree). The record is from RNAcentral. Lineage: Eukaryota; Viridiplantae; Streptophyta; Magnoliopsida; Malpighiales; Euphorbiaceae.